UUAAACGAAGUAACAUGAAAAAAUGUGAUAUAAAACACUAUAUCCUGUCGUUUUCAUAAAAAAAGUGAUUUAGGCAGCGUGCACUGACACUGAUUAUCCUGUACUUUUGUUUGUUAUAAAAACCAAAUAUCAUAUAUAACACAUUCCUUUAUCAAGUAUAAGAUGUUUGUGCAACAGGAAAUAUACAAGCAAGUUCGGUCAAAAACAAAUAAGUCUGCACUUCACCACAAAGUUAAAUAAAAAAUAUAAAGUUUUACAAUGCAACUUUGUCCUUAGUCAAAACGAUUUGCCCAGGAACAGAUAAUAUAUUUAUGAGACCAAAGAUUGUCCAUAAGACAGUACCGAAAAUAAAAUAUAUAUAACACUGUUAACCACUACAUAACACCCAGCGGUGAUUUUCAGAAGGACUUGCCGAGAUCAAGCUGCGUUGGGCGGGGUACAUGAGCGCUAAGUACCCGUUGGUUGUCUGGAUCAAAACUCCGAAAAAGUUGGGGCAGAUUUUUUAAUAAACGCUCUCUUUAUAAACCGACCGCAAAUUUGAACUUUUUAUACAUACAUUCUCGCCUAAAAAGCUUUUGAACAUACACUUUGUGACACAAUAAGAGUAAUAUUUCAAACAUUAUGCAGGCGUUCUCUUCCAUUGGUGGCUGUCAUAAGUUCACACGAAUCUGCUGAUGACGUUUCACAUGGACAGACAACUACGCAUUAUUGUAUUUUUAAUUGUAUUUUUUGCGUGUGUUAUUUUUAUUUCAUUAUUAUAAAAAUCAUGAUAAUUAUUAUUGAGCCUUGGGUGGCAGUCUGUUUUGAAUUUGUUUUAUUGAAAAAACAAACACACAACGCAUAUUGUGUUGCGCCUGCGCAGUGACGUUCUUUUCCAACCGCCUUUCCAGUCAAGAGGUCAAGAAUGUUCCUGUCUGCAUCAGCUAUCCAUCUGAAAAAGAAAAGCUGGCACUCUCAAAGGAGAUUGUGUUGUUGGAUUAUGGUCUCAUUUGGUCAAAAAGAGGGACAUGUACCGAGCAUUUUUUUUUUUUUUUUUUGAUGGGCCAUCACACAGUGGAUUUAUAAAAAUGAGAUUACAGAACAUCAGAUGGUAGCUUCAACAGAGUUGAAGUGGGAGGACAUCAUCAAUAAAGAAUGCCAUUGACCAAACCUUCAGUCAUCAAAGAAGAUGGAUACAGGGGGACAUCAAGUUUUCCAGACUUACCGAUGGGAAAAAAGAAAUGGGAAUGUGACAAUUAUUGAGAAACUCAGGGAAAAAGCAUCUUUAGAGAAGAAAAUGGACAUCAGACAUUUAUUGAAGAAAGCUGACAGUCAACAUAAUGAUGAGAGCUGUGUUAUACAAUGUUAAGGAUACUCUUCUGCUGUGUGAAUUCUGCUGUCUCAGACCUGUGGGACUUGAUGCCGGCUGGUACCAGUGUAACGUCUUUGCUUACUAAAUGAUCAAAGGAUAUCUGAAAUCAGCUCAGCCACAGUUGGUUUCCAACGGUUCUUCAGGACAUGGAGGCCACUACGUAACUGUUGCAAUGAACGAUUCUUUUGCCUUUCCACCUGAUGUUGACAAUCUGACCUGUGCGGUACUGAAAACAACUUGCACUGACAUAUCUUAAAAUAUAUCAGUGCCCUUUGUUUUGCCUCAAAAUGCACACCAGUAAUGUUUUUUGUUGAAACCAGUUAUAUUUCCUAAUUAAACUAAGGCCUAGUCCUGGAUUAAGCUAAUCCCCUGUCCGGGAAACCGCCCCUAAAUGUUUUGUGACGGAAAUUUCUUUGAAUACACUUGUCAAGUUCAUUUUAAGUAUUUUUCUUAAUGUAAGAUAACAUGUUAAUGUUUCAGGACAAGUUAAACAUUUUUGAUAACUUGCAUGUUGGAAACGAUUUCAGACAUUGUUCUAUUCAACAUGUUUAACACAGUUGCUUUUAAAUUCAACGAAUUAUUUUAUAAAUAGUGUUUUAAAGCGUAUCAAUGUAAUGUAUGUUGGAAGUAAUUAUACUUGCACUUACAUUUAUUUAAAUUAGCAUACAUCUAGCAACAUAAAGUACUAGCAUAUUUUCAUGCAAGC
Molecule: non-coding RNA, 2057 nt
Organism: Misgurnus anguillicaudatus (oriental weatherfish)
Lineage: Eukaryota; Metazoa; Chordata; Actinopteri; Cypriniformes; Cobitidae
Source: RefSeq, a predicted model, not a curated record